UUGUAUAAUGGGUCAGCGACUUAUAUUCUGUAGCAAGGUUAACCGUAUAGGGGAGCCGUAGGGAAACCGAGUCUUAACCGGGCGUUAAGUUGCAGGGUAUAGACCCGAAACCCGGUGAUCUAGCCAUGGGCAGGUUGAAGGUUGGGUAACACUAACUGGAGGACCGAACCGACUAAUGUUGAAAAAUUAGCGGAUGACCUGUGGCUGGGGGUGAAAGGCCAAUCAAACCGGGAGAUAGCUGGUUCUCCCCGAAAGCUAUUUAGGUAGCGCCUCGUGAAUUCAUCUCCGGGGGUAGAGCACUGUUUCGGCUAGGGGGCCAUCCCGGCUUACCAACCCGAUGCAAACUGCGAAUACCGGAGAAUGUUAUCACGGGAGACACACGGCGGGUGCUAACGUCCGUCGUGAAGAGGGAAACAACCCAGACCGCCAGCUAAGGUCCCAAAGUCAUGGUUAAGUGGGAAACGAUGUGGGAAGGCCCAGACAGCCAGGAUGUUGGCUUAGAAGCAGCCAUCAUUUAAAGAAAGCGUAAUAGCUCACUGGUCGAGUCGGCCUGCGCGGAAGAUGUAACGGGGCUAAACCAUG
RNAcentral lists this ribosomal RNA (582 nucleotides) under Salmonella enterica subsp. enterica serovar Paratyphi B var. L(+) tartrate +. RNAcentral describes it as "partial 23S ribosomal RNA". It matches the Rfam family "Bacterial large subunit ribosomal RNA", at positions 608 to 1191 of the family's 2925-position model. The record is from RNAcentral. Lineage: Bacteria; Pseudomonadati; Pseudomonadota; Gammaproteobacteria; Enterobacterales; Enterobacteriaceae.